RNAcentral lists this ribosomal RNA (1260 nucleotides) under Triticum aestivum (bread wheat). RNAcentral's name for it is "partial small subunit ribosomal RNA". The record is from RNAcentral. Lineage: Eukaryota; Viridiplantae; Streptophyta; Magnoliopsida; Poales; Poaceae.
AUGGUUCAUUUGAUUGGAGGCAAUUUCCAUGAGAAAUGGAGCCGAAAAGCUACUCAUGCUAUAUGCAAUAUGUUCAAUGGUGAAAUAUACGAGAAAGCUGAUGAACGUGGUAUUCCAAUCGUGAAUCACAGUUGGCUUUCGGACAGUCUAAAUGCAGGGGUCAUUCUUCCAUGUGACAAAUAUUGUGUACCUGGUCAGGAAGUUCAGCAAUGUGAGGAUAAUUUCAAAAGAGCAUAUGAACAUCUAUCAGAGACUGGUCAAACUGAGAUAAAAAGCAAAUCAUCUGGAGCAAAAACACCAGAUGGCAGAUCAAUAAGCAUUAGAGCAGACAGGUUAACACAGUCAACGGGUAACAAAAAGCUGAGGGUUGAAACAAACUUCAUCUCUAAACCAAAGAUCGUCCGUACCUUGCAGUUCAAGUCCGACAAGAAGACUUCUCUUGAUAACUAUGUUAAACCCGACGACCGGGUUGUCUCCAUCAUAUACCCAGAUGAGGAGAUCCCUCGGGACUUAACUGCUCCAAUCUUGAAAAGGGUUCUACGGAAAUCAUAUCUUCCACUUGGCCGUUUGCACGUAGAGAAUCUAUCCCUAGGAGGAAAGUUCGGCUGCCACAACUUUAUGGUCUCUGAUCCUCACGAGACUGUAGAGCUGUGCGAUGUCAUUACAGAGGAGCUGACACCUGAAGGUAGAAAGGCAGACAAGAAGGCCUUUGUGAAAAUGGUGAAGGGUCUUUUCGAAUGGGUGCCAAGGGAUGUCAGGGUCUGGUUGCAGAACAUUGAGGAUGGCUGGGAUGACGCUCUUCUGAUGAAUCACAUCUACAUGUUUGACUCAGACUCAACAUUCGGCCAGUUCAUCACUUUGUACCAAGGUGUGCUGAAGCUGAAGGAGAAGGGAGGUCAGAAGUACAAAGACUUCAUCGAGCUUCCUCGCAUGCAAAGCUACAACGGUUGGCAUGCUAUCGGGUUUAAGUGGAAAAUUCUUCGUGCUAACAUGGACUACAUAGAUCCAAGAGAAGAACAGCUCGAUGUACUUGAGAAAGCAAGACUGGAGCUGAAGAGAGAGAAGGAUCCCUCAAGGAAGAACGUGUUUGGUCUCCUGAGGACAGUCAAGAAUACUUGGUCGCACCCUGCGAGGCACUUGCAAGAAUUCUUCCUAGCCAUCAUGAUUAGUGAGUACUUGCAGCUACUAUCGGAUGUCCAGAAAGCACUGUAUGACUGUGGGUAUUAUGGACAGAAUCUGAGCCUCAUGGACUUCCCCUGA